Molecule: ribosomal RNA, 263 nt
Filed under: uncultured bacterium
Lineage: Bacteria
Description: partial 16S ribosomal RNA
Rfam family: Bacterial small subunit ribosomal RNA
Source: RNAcentral
GUCCACGCCCUAAACGAUGGGUACUAAGUGUCGGCGGGUUACCGCCGGUGCCGCACCUAACGGAGUAAGUACCCCGCCUGGGGAGUACGGCCGCAAGGUUGAAACUCAAAGGAAUUGACGGGGGCCCGCACAAGCGGUGGUGCAUGUGGUUCAAUUCGACGCAACGCGAAAAACCUUACCCAGGCUUGACAUGCUCGUGGUAAGAACCGGAAACGGGGAUGACCCUGAAAGGGGAGCGAGCACAGGUGCUGCAUGGCUGUCGU